GAGUUUGAUCGUGGCUCAGAACGAACGCUGGCGGCGUGCUUAACACAUGCAAGUCGAACGAGAAAGAGUUCUUCGGAACUUGAGUAAAGUGGCGCACGGGUGAGUAACGCGUAGAUAACCUGCCCUGAUGUCUGGGGAUAACCCUUCGAAAGGGGGACGUAAUACCGGAUACGCUGAUUUUCUAUAAGGAGAAUCAGGAAGAUGGCCUCUGAUAUAAGCUAUCGCAUUUGGUAGGGGUCGUGCGUACCAUUAGCUU
Molecule: ribosomal RNA, 256 nt
Filed under: uncultured microorganism
Description: partial 16S ribosomal RNA
Rfam family: Bacterial small subunit ribosomal RNA
Source: RNAcentral